AACGAACGCUGGCGGCAGGCCUAACACAUGCAAGUCGAGCGGGCACUUUCGGGUGCUAGCGGCGGACGGGUGAGUAACGCGUGGGAAUAUGCCCUUUGGUACGGAAUAGCCUCGGGAAACUGGGAGUAAUACCGUAUGUGCCCUUCGGGGGAAAGAUUUAUCGCCAAAGGAUUAGCCCGCGUUGGAUUAGGUAGUUGGUGGGGUAAUGGCCUACCAAGCCGACGAUCCAUAGCUGGUUUGAGAGGAUGAUCAGCCACACUGGGACUGAGACACGGCCCAGACUCCUACGGGUGGCAG
This 297-nucleotide ribosomal RNA is filed under the name uncultured bacterium. RNAcentral's name for it is "partial 16S ribosomal RNA". It matches the Rfam family "Bacterial small subunit ribosomal RNA", at positions 29 to 351 of the family's 1533-position model. The record is from RNAcentral.